AUUUUGAAUUCCGGAAUUACUUACAUUAACAAAAUAUGAUAGAAAUAGACAUUUGCUUUAGAAUGAGCUAAAUACUGAAUUUUUAUAUACACAGUAAGAUUUGGUAGCAGUUUAAAUAUUUUCAGAAAACUGAAUCCAAGACUCUUUAUUUAUGUUUACUGCAAUGCAAGGAGAGAGUCUUAAGUCAACUAUUAAUAUAUCUGUGCUAUAUUUUCCUCUAAGGAUUUGGGAACAGAAUUAUGCUGUUCUCAUGAAAACAAUAUUUGUCCAGGCCUUACAGAGGGUUGCAAUGCACUCUAUUACUUUUAAAACAAAAAUAUCACUCAGUUUAGAUUUAAAAUGUAAUGCUUUUCUCUUUUCUUUUCUUUUCCCCCCCUUUUUUUUUUCUUUUUUUUUUUCCUUUAUCUUUCAGCCCAAGAACUUGCCAGUCAAGAUGAAAAACUUCUUCUAAUGGAAUCCAGCUUGAAAGCAACUCAAGAGCAGCUAAGUGAGCAAACAGCAGAAACAGUUCACCAAGAACAGAACAGUAGAAAAUCACAGACAGAGCUGAAAGAAGAUCCUGAGAGAACGUAUUAUAGCUUCUGAUGAAGAAAUUAGUGAUUACAAAAGCUGUCUCUAAGCAAGAUGCUGCCAAAUAAAAGGAAAUUUAGUGUUUGAACUUUUAGUCACAACAGUAAGGCACAUAUGAGAUUGCAUACUAUACUUGAGAAAAGUUUAAACAGAAAAAUGUACCUCUAUUCUCAGAAAAAAAAAAAAAUAGUAUCUAUAAGUUUAUAAGUUUAAAUGUUAGCUCUGAAGAUUUUAAUUAAAAAAUACUAAUCUUCAACAAAUAACUUUUAUAAAUUAUAAUGACUUUAAAUGUAUUUUUAUAUUGAGACACAAAAUGAUACAUUAUUCAGAUUUUUCAAGAUCUACAGUAUGGUAGAAAUGAUUCACUACUGCUUCUUUUUGCCUUAUUGUAUGCAAACUGUUACAUAUGUUAUAUUAAAAAAUUGUUAAAUGUAGAGACAGAAACUCAAGCUGUUUUAUAAUAUCAUAGAGUGCAGGUGAAUGCUUUAUAAAGAGAGCAUGACUGAAAUAAAGUUUAUUCAUUCAGUGGUAGGUUGAACAUUUAAAGAGAAAUGUUUUAUCUCAGAUUUGUACCAAGCAUCAAGGACUGUCUCUACAAAUCUCCUCUGAGAGAAGCUUUGCUAGGUUUAGAUGCAAUAAACAUAAUGUUUCAAAAUCACAAUAUGACAAUGUUAUAAUUUGUAUGCUCAGUGUAAAUAGCUUCUAGACUGGAACUUCACUCUGUAUUCAAAAGUUUAAAGCCAAUUUUUCUGCUGAAGACUGGGAAAAUCUCUAUGGGAAGAAAAAAACGCACAAGAACAAAAACAUUGUCUACAGUAAUAUGUCUUCAUUUCUUUAAAUAAAAUAGCUUGGUGGUUUUCAACUUCUAGUUAUACCUCUAAAGACCUUACUACUACUUCUCUAGGGACAGUAGUGUCACUGAUUUGCUUUCCUAACCUAUCUUGACUCCUUUGCUACAGUAAGCUUUCUUAACCAUUUCAAGUGAUUCUUCAGUUGCCAAAAUGCCAUGUUAUGCAAAUUCCUGUAGAUAUUUACUUCAAAAUUAAAAGGUUAAAAUCUUCUAGGAGUACUGGCUGUAAGUUUGUGUGAUACAGUGAUAGAAAUGGUAGGGGAUGUGGGAGGAUUGAAACCUCCAGCUGUAUCUGAUCAAAUGUGUGAUGAAAUACAACACUUGAUAGAGCAGGAAUUUUGCAAAAGUGAAAUGAGUUUCUCUGUUCUUCAAAUAGAAAGCCAAAUGAUAAACACUACAAGACUUUGAGACACAUUUCUUUCUUUCUUUCUUUCUUUUUUUUUAUGAUUUCAUAGUAUACAUUUUGUGAAUAAAUAAAAACUUGGAUGAAUCUGUUAACAUACAAAAAUUCACUAAGCCACCUUUUUUUCUGUUUAUAUUUGAUUUUCUUUUUCUGCUCUAUUUUUCUAUUUCUGUUUUCACCAAACUAAUAUGUUUGUUGGCUUUGGAAGUUUGUUAAUUCAGUACAUGAGCAUAAUGUAUUUUGAGUUAGGGGAGUCUUCAGGUUACAGCUCUAUAGAUUGUCAAGAUUAUUUUUAUAGGCUCUUAGGUUAAUUUUUAUGUUUAAGUUUAUGACACUUGUUUUUUAAAAGUACUGUGAUAUUACUGCACGAUUAUAGAGAAGUAUUUGUUGAAUUAGGAAAAUUAACGCUGUAAAUUUAAAAUUUUAAUAAAGUUGAAAUUAUAAAGAUAAAAACUAAGAAACAAAAUUGAACAUUUUAGAUAUUAAAUUCCCCCUUAAAGAUAACAUUUUACUGAAUACCUGAAAACAAACAUGUUGUGCCAGACAGUAUCUGCUGUGCUCUGUUCCUUGAGAGGCAGAAAGAACAAUGGAUCUCUUUCCCCAUGGGUGUUUGGGGACAGGGAAUGUCGUAAAGGUUAUGUUCAUUUACUAUGAAGGGCACAGCACGUGUUGUAAAGUAACAUCCCUUUGGUGCUGACUUAUUCGAAGUCACAUAGUCCUGGACUUUACCUACCACCCUACUUAGUGAUUCUGGCAAAUGCAGAUGGUAUCAAGGUGAGAGCUUAGGACCUUGCAAAGAAAAAUGCAGUGAAGCAUAAAUUGGUGGAUUUAAACUACCGAGAGAGUUAAGAUUCUGCUAUAGCUGUUGUGACGCCUAUAAGGAGAAAAGUCCAUUUUUGUAUGCUUUUAUUUCCUUGUAAUGUAAAUGUACAUUAAAGGAUAUUUCUCCUGGAAGUGGUGUAAAAGGAAAGUACUGAAGAGCAUUUAAAAAACAAUAAAACUAGCAUUAUUUGUGCUAGUUUACAAAAAUAUUUUUUUAUAAAAUAGAAUAAAAAUAUUUUACUAACUGUACUGGAUUCUCAAAAUGCAUGUAUUCCAGGUAUAACCAAAAUUUGUAAGUAGUCACAAGCUAUGUUUGCUAUAUACUUAUUCUGGAUGAAAUAAACCUAAAGUUACACACACUCCCCCCCAGCCUCCAAUAUAAGCCUGUUACACUUGAAAGAUUUGUUCGGAAUGUCCAGUGGGAACCUGGAAAUCGUAAUAAUUUGUAGUAUCGAUUGUGUGAAGCUAUGCAGCUGGGGCCUCUAGUGAAUAGACAGGAAUAGACAUUUUAUUGAUUAACUUUUACAGUCAUAUUUUCAAGACUCUGCUGCAACAUAAUUUUCACUUCCCAGCUUUGUGCUGCUGCAUCAUGAAACUUGAAUUCUUCUCUCUUAACAUUUACCCACCUGAGGGAAACAGUAUGGAGUUGUCUCUUUUAAGCUGCGCUCUGCAGAAAUGCAUAACACUUGACACAGUGAAUUCUUCAAAAUUUACCCUCCGCUGUUGCAAUAAAAUGAAAAAUAUUAAGAAGUGAUAUUAGUAUCACCCAAGUUGAACUGCCCACUCCAUAUGUUAGACGCCAUUGUUUCAUACUUCCUAGUAAUUUUAUCCACCUUUUUUUUUAUUUUUAUUUUCUAAGGGGCUAAGAUUGUGGCAAAAAAAAUUGCCACCCUCCUCACACCACAGAUUCCAGCAGUGCUUAAUGGAGUUUGUCUCAUAAUUAAAUAGGUGAUUUUAUUAGUUACUGGAGAAGAAUAAGUGCUUCCCUGAAAAUGUGAACUAUGAAUUAAAAAAUACUCAUUUUUAAGAGUGACAGCCUGUGUCAAAUAAAAUUCCUUGUAAAAGUACAGAAAGGGCAGUUUUUCAUUAUAAUUAUCAAUCUAUCAUUUAACAAUGUAAAAAUAUGUACCAAAAUAGUAAACAGACUAGUCUUAGAAAGCAUUAUUUCACAUUUCUGAAGUUAUUCGUUUUCAGAAAAGAAAAAAAAAGGGGGGGGGGGGGGGGGCAUUUUGCCAUUUUGUAAAGAACUGUUGCAUAUUUUGAUUUUUUCCCAGUAUGAUUUGCAUUCUAAAUCAGAUGCCCAAGCCACUAUUCUUUCAUGCUGAUAAAAUUGCUGGUAAAAAUCUCAAUCUAUCAUUUUUUUUUUCAUCUAAUGACUGUUUCUUUGUUGUUGUUGUUGUUGUUAUUUUACAUGGUAACUUUUACUUGAAUGCUGUUUGCAAUGUAAGUUUGAUAACAGCUUUCACAAAAUAGGACAAAUAUUCACAUACAUUGCCACUGGUGCUAAUAUGAUUUAGACUUCUGUCAUUCUAUUAUUUUUCCUAGAGAUAUUUUAUUACUAGUGUCUUCUAAGUAUCUAAAUGUUUAAGAUAUUUGUGGUCAUGUUUCCUUUUGUCCUCCCGCUCAUCAGAUACAUCUCAGUGUGCACUGUAUGGAGACACCAAAGCAGAAAUACUCGCAUAGAUGACAGAAUGUUCAUCUUGUUUGCAGUUGUCUAAACUCUUACAGAAAAAAUCCUGAUUUCUCUUAAAAAAACAGAAAACUGUGUGGAGAACUUUAAGGUCUGAAAAAUGUGAGUAAUGCCUCCAGAAAAGCUUAAAUGGGAAUCACGCCAAGAAUGUGGGACCAGGAAAGUCAAAUUGUCAGACUGAGACAAAACUUUGUGGAAAUGGAAGAAGAAGUAAAGAACUUAAGACUUACACACAGCAAUGAUGCUCAGAUGAUUGAUAAGAAUCUGAAUACUCUGAGAAAUGAGAUGAACUUGUAUGAAGACACAUAGGAUGGUAGUCAAAUGAGCUGAAGUUUAAAUAUGAACAACACAAUGCAACACUGAGGCCUGCAUGACUGUAAGAAUGUUAGGAUAGAAAAUUGUCUUUGGUAGCAGCAAAGAUUAAAAAAAUAGUAUCACUUAAAUAAAUACAUGUGAAGAAGCCAAAUUUGUAACAAAAAGGAAACCAGUAAAUGAAUUCACAAAAGCCAGCUACUACAUAGCAAAUCUCUGUAUAAAUGGGCUGAGAGUAUGUACCAAGAAGAAGGCAAGUAUCUAUUCUUUUUCAAUGGGAAAAACAAAAAACAAAAAACAAACAAACAAAAAAGCUAUUUCAUCCUUACUUUGGGAAAAAGGCACACAAAACCAAAGCAAAAAAUGCCUCACUGACUGCAUCUGUCCAUUCUGUACUGUAAUUUGUUUCCCGCUAUGAAGAUUUAGGUUAAAUUCAUUUCUAUUAUUAAAGACAAAUAAGCUGCAAAAGAACUAAUUCUCUGUCUCCAUCUUUUACAUGUAUAUUUAUUCAUAUGAAUGCACUUUUGUUCAUUUAUUUUUACUUCUACCUUGACAAAGCUGUGCAAAAAAUAACAUAGUUUGAUUACUCAUAAUUUGCAUUUGUGUAAUUAAUAGGGAUGAAAAGGAUUAAAAUCAAUGGAGAAAUAUUUAUUUGUUUAAAUUGGAUAACUAUGGAAAAACUAUUUGGCAGGAAUGAAAGCUUUUCCAUCUAAAUUACGUCAUAUAAUUUAAACUGUUUUAGUUUUUAAGCUUAAAAAGCAUGAAAAUCACAAAGCAGAACUGGAAGAAGACACAGAAAAAUACUGCCAUGUAAAGGAAGAGCCUUCAGAACAAGGGUCUCAGCUCAAAAUUAGCUAGCUGGUCCAUUCUGGAGUGGGAAAACUGAUAAAAUGCCGCAGUACUCAGGUAAUACCCUUGAUACAAUAUGUGGAAGGGAGACAGUGUUUGAAGUAAUAUCAGUGAAUGUAUCAGAGUACUCUCAGAGAAUUUUUCCAACGGAUAAGGAAAUAUUAUUUAAAUAAUACUAACUGUAAAAUUCACUCAUGAGUGAUUGAGAAAACAUGAGAAAUAUUGUUGAAAAUAUCAAGUCAAUAUAACAGCAGCAUUUCUUCUUUUAAAAGUGUUGUGGGUGGGAUUCACCUUGUUGAACUGGAGGUAGGAAUAUUUGAAAUAGAUGUCUAAGUUCCAUUGCUGUCAUUGGAGACUUAAUCAACUCAGUGAGUGAAAUCAAGGGCUAUCAAUACCUUUCAUUACCCAAAGUGAACCUACAGAAAAGCUGGAGAGUGACUCUUUAUCAGGUAGCAUAGUCAUAGGACAAGGGAUAGUUGCCUUCAACUAAACUAGAUUAGAUAUUAGAAAGAAAUUCUUCACUAUGAGGACAGUGAGAUACUGAAAUAAAUUGUCCAUAGAAACUGUGGAUGCUCCAUCUCUGGGAGCAUUCAAACGUAGGUUGAGUGAAGCCCUUGGCAACUUGAUCUCAUGGAAGGUGACUGUGCUAUGGCAGGGAAUUAGAACUAGAUGAAUUUAAGUUCUCUUCCAAACCAUUUUAUGAUUCUAUGACUAAAUAUUGAUCCAAUCAAUAUUAAGGUUUUCAGAGGAGCUGAAAAUCAAUCCCAGUGACAAUAUUAUUCAUUGUGAUAGAACACAUUCACACACCGUAAUGCAGACAUCCAAAUUUGGGUAAGAAUAAUCAGAUUAGAAAAGUUAGCCUUUUUGCAGCAAUUCAUUAUAUAAUACGGAAUUAUUUUAUUUAUUUUUGUUACUAAUAAGAGUACUAGAUGUUUCACAAGCAUAGAUACUGGUCAAUUAUCUGAGCAAUAUCCAAUAUAUAAAUACACAAAGUUAGAAGGAAAUGAUCAAUGCCAGAGAGAAAUAAAAGUUAAAAUAAUACAUGCUUUUUCUUCUGUGUCUGAGAGAAUGUGAGUAGAUGUGAAAGUUGGAAAACCAAAAGAAUUAGUAGUAUGACAACAUUCCUUUUCUACCCUAGCAUUGUCAAAAGAUAACAAGAUUAAUUCUCUGCUGUAGUAUUUCACUACAGUAGUGUGUUAAUUUGAGGGGCUUGGCUGAGCCUUAUUCAGCAUAUAAUUAGAAUUUACUGAACUUUAAUUUCUUAUCAUCUUUAGGCUGCAUUAUCAAAGUGUUUAUAUUGAAACAUUCAAAUGUUCAGUUAAAAAUAAACUUCAGUUUGUCAAGGAUACAUUGUAUACAAAUUCUGUGGAAAUAUUUGAAUAAAAUUGUUCACUUUUGCUUUGUGAGAAAUGCUUUGCACUUUACAUAUUUAUAACAUAAUGUCAUUAGAGUAUGUAUCUUAGAAAUAUAGCAAUUUCCUGGUGAAUUUAUUGAAUAAAUGCUUAUCUAAUAAGUAAUUUGAGAGUAGAGAAAGAUCUAAUGAAAAGCUAAAUACACAGUGAAAUCCUAAUCAAGCAAUUGAAAUAGUUACUCAUGAUAAAACUAAGAUUAUCAGAGUAUCAGAACACAAAUUACUCCAUUAAUCUUUUGAAUUAGUCAGUUCUUAUUUUCUGAAGCUAAGUAACUUGAGAAGGUACACUCAAGGUUUCAUCUUUCUGAAGACUGUAUUUAUUACCUUUACUUUCAUAAAGAGUUCAUUAGAAAGAAUAUUACAGUGAAAUACGUUAACUUUUUAGCCUGUUUUAAUGAAGUCAUGUGAGUCUUUAAUUAUCUGACAUAAAACUGCUUAGUUUUACGUAGUAUCUACAGAUACUAAUUAGUAUCUACAUAUAUACAUUAGUAUCUACAUCAAUUAGUAUCUACAGAUAUUAACGGAUUCAUAUGUCAUAAAGCCAGAAGAAACGCUGUUAUUGAAUCUUAUAUGUGGCACAAUGCAGGCCACAGGACUUCACUGAAUUGAGUAGUUGUAAGAGAUUAUUCUUUUAUAUGAUUGACUCAAAGUUUGCUGAGGAACAAGUCCAGGCAAGUCCUGGGCAAAGGUACAGAAAUCUUCUGUCUGGAGGACACUGAUGGACAGGUCCUGGCUAAAGGAUUGUGAAGUCCUUUAAGGAGCACAGAUGGACGAGGCCAGGGGCAACGAGAGAGGGAUAAGCUGCUGAUAAUGGCUGAGAAAUGGUCUUUUGUGUGGACUUAUCUAGAAGAAGAUGGCCAUCUCAGGAGCUACGCACAUGACUCUUGCUCAAGCACCCAGGGAUGUCACGUAGGCAGGAAAAAGAGGAGGAUAAAAGAGGGUCUAACAACCAUGAGGAGAGGGUUUCUGCCAUCAGAUCCCUCACCACGACGGACUCAAGGUUUCUGCCAUCAGAUCCUUCACUACGGACCAUAUGCUGAUGGACUUCCCUGGGCCUGCUACCUGAGACCUGCUGCUUCCUCCCAGACUUACUCUGCGGCUUCUUCCUGGACCCACCCGGUACCUGCACCCUCUCGUUGCCCAAGACCGGCCUCGCUGCUCCUGCCCUUCAGCCUCGGACCAUCAGAACAUCGUGCAACAGGACUACUGCUGGUGGUGACUAUCCCCGCUUUAUGCAAUUCUUGCUUCUUUCUAUCUUUUCUAUCGCUCGCCUUCCCUUUCCCAUCACCCCAAUCCAUAAUAGUGUCCGUCCUCCCCUUUCUUCAUCUCCCUUAUUAACAUAUGUAAUAAACUGGUCGGACCAACAUUUGAACCGUUGUUUCUUAAUCUCACGCCGGGCAUACAUAUUUCAAAGAACCUCCUCUCCCUCCUAUAAAUUGGAGUGAGACAGUAGUACAUUAUGUCUAAGUAAAUGUGAUUAAAAUGGAGUAUAUUAAAAUGGAGCAUACAUUUUUAAUACAUUCUUGACUUUAAAUAUACACAAUGUUAGAGAAUUCAUUACGGUCUUUCACAGGUUGCCUCAAUAGUUAGUAAAACAUAUAGCAUGCUGACUGUUCAUCAUUUUAUCAUCUUUCUUGGAAUGUUAUACAAAUCUCAACAUAUAUAAAAAUAGUUUUUAUGUCAUCUUUAUCAAUAACAUUUGAAAUAUCAUAAAACUGAAAGAGCAGAUAGUUUUACAAGAUGUGUUUACAGUAAAUCCACAGUAACUUUGGUUAUUAUAUUAAUGCACAUUUGUUAUAUGUAUCUACAGCUAACACAAAUUACUGUGGAAUUAUGAUAUUAGCUGUCCUGAUAUUUUGCUUGAAAGAGAUAACUACCCUCCUUGAAUUACUUGAAUCACCCUCUUAAAACCUAAGAAAUAUUAGCACAGAAUUAACAGAUAAAUUAACCUGUACUGUUUUGGAAGUUUUUAAGGUUGUCAAGACCAAACACUGUAAAUAUGGCCUAGAAAUUCUUUUCAAAAGCACUUCAAAAGCACUUAGAUAUGUUUUACGUAGACAAUUUGAAAUAUAUUUAUACUUAUGUGAUUGCAGUCACUUUUAUCCUAAGACUAAAAUACCAUACAUUCUUCAGUUAUAAUAGAAUAUUUCACAUGAAGGGUUCUACAGAGAUCAUCAAGUCCAACUGCCUGACAACUUCAGAGGUAACCACAAGUUAAGCGUAUUACUGAGGGCAUUAUCCAAAUGCAUCUCAAGUAAUAUUAGGCAUAGGACAUCAGUCAUCUCAUUGCAGUGAGAUAAAAGCCUGUUCCACUGUUUGAUGAUAAAUAAAUGUCCAGUAUAGUCUGAAACUCCCCUGGCACAGCACAGCUGUGUGCCACUCCUGUGCAACCUGCAAUCAGCACAGAAGAUACCAGGGAGCAGAGACCAGCACCUCCCUCUGUACUUCCUCUCCUCAAGGAGCUGCAGAGAGCAGUAAAGUCAUCUUGUAGACUCCUAUUCUCCAGGCUAGACAGUCCAAGAGUCCUCACCCUUUCCUUACUAGACAUGUCUUCCAUUCUGAUUACCUGCUUUGUUGCCAUUGUCUGGACACUUUUAGAUAUCUUAAUAAUGUUUUUAUGUUGUGGGGCAUACAUUAUUCAAGGUGAGGUUGCACCAACUCCAAAUAUAUCAGGACAAUCACCCCAAAAAGCAGUUUGCCCUUUUGGCAACCAACACUGCUGGUUCAUACUGAGCCUGCUAUCAUCAGCCCUCCUAGAUCAAUUUGUUCUGAGCUGCUCUCCAGCCAUUCAUCUCUCAGUUUGUGUCAUCUCUCAGGUACUGUGCCAGGCAUAGUACCUGACAUUUACCUUUGUUGAACUUCACGCCAUUGUUUCCCCAGUGCUCCAAUCCAUCCACAUUGCUCUACAAGACCUCAGCAACACAACUGACCAUCUACUAGCCAAAUGGGUCUCCAUCACUACAACACUUUGAGUUCUACCAUUGAGCCAGUUUAUCACCCUGCAUAGUGUGAACAUACUUAUCUCACAGUUGGACAAUUUGUACAGAAAGUUGCCAUGAAGGAUCAUAUCAAAGGCUUUACUGAAUUCUAGAAAGAUGACGUACACUGCCUUCCUUCAUCCACCAAGUGGGUAAUCUUAUAAAAAGAAAUCAAAGCAAUGAAGACAGGGCUUUCCCUUCAUGAACCCAUAUUGACUAUGCCUGACAAUGGCUUUGUCCUUCAAGUGCCUUUCAGUAACACUCACUAUAAUCUUCUCCAUAAAUUUUUAGGGUACUGAGUUAGGUUAACAAGUCUGUUACAGAUUUGUUACUUUUGUUACUUUGUUUUCAGUAAGUUCUUUCUCUUUAUUUUUUGUUUGUUUGUUUAUUUUACUUUGUUUUGGGAAGAGGAGAGCUUGUGGUGGGGAGUGGGGUUUUGUCAUCUACGUAGUGCUAUUGAAGAUAAUACUACUUUUUUAUAUUUAAACAUUUGAUCCUCAGAAAGUUUCAUCCUAUUCUUUCAUGUUUACGAGAUUUUUCUCUCUUCAAACACUUUUUUUCUUUGUAUGAACAUUUGCAAAUGAGUGUGUACAUGCAUAUCAAUGACCAUGAGUACAUGGGGCUUAUCUGUUCCUCAAAAAUAUGACUUGGUCAAAAUUACUUUUGCAUAAAGAACAACUGAAUUUCAGCAACGUAAUCCUUUCCUACUCAUAAGUCUUAAAUUAAUGUGCAAAAUUGAAUUAAUCAGCAUAUUUAAUUACAAUUUUUUUGUUAAACUUAUUUAUCUGUGAAGGUGUUAUGUAUAAUUUUUGAAAGUUAAUGGAUACAUUAUUAAGCAAAGAGUAACAGCUCCAACAAACCAGAAUUAUUUAAGUCUCUGAGGAAAACUAAGAUUUCCCUUCUGAUUCAUCUUUAAAAUCCUGUUUUCAACAUCUUUGCAAAGUUAAUUUUAGUUUUUUAAAAGCCAGGUAACUUAAAAUAAUUUUUCUGCCCUUCAUUCCUCUUUUGUUUAUCGUGUUUUUCAGAAUGUUGUUCCAUUAGUGACUUUGAAGUCAGUGAUGUUAGAUCAAAUUAUUCAAAUUACUAGCUUUUGUUGUUGCUGGUGCUGUUUUGUGGGGUUUUUUUCUUUUGUUUUGUUUUGUUUUGAUUUUCCUCUUAUGAAUGUAAUUUACUGGUGUAGUGGUUAUUAGAACAGAACUUCACAGUGUUUGUGUUUUGUCUUAAUUAUAAGUAAUUUUAUAUCACUAAUAUUAUCAGUAAACUUGUUUGUGUAUAUUUUACUCAAUGAAAUGUUAAUGCCAAACUUUGAACAGAAACUGUACUGACUACUUCUAUCUUAAAACAGACAGUACCAGUAGCUGAUUGUUUUACUUUUGUUUCCUUUCAUCAAACAACUCUAUUCAGAAGGUGAAAAUUUCCUUUUCUUCUUUUUGAUGGAAUUUCUUUUCAUUUCUCCCCUUUCUUUUCAUAGUUUUACAAACGGGCAGUUACACAGUUUAUUACAAAAUAUGUUGAGGCACAUGCCUAGAAGGUGUGUUGAAUGGCAUACUCCAUCUACUUGUGGCAUCUAUGCAUAUUAAGUUGUUAAAAGCAUGUUUGUCAAACUUAUAUGACAGUUUUAGCAAUUGUAAAAACGCAUAUUUGCUAUGCUAUGCUAGAAGAAGAGGAAGAAAAAGAAGAAGAGAAGUGAAAAAAGAGAGGAGAGAAGAGGAGAGGAGAGGAGAGGAGAGGAGAGGAGAGGA
Gallus gallus (chicken) is the source of this 11627-nucleotide long non-coding RNA. The record is from Ensembl. NCBI's taxonomy places the organism in Eukaryota, Metazoa, Chordata, Aves, Galliformes, Phasianidae.